AUGAAUCCACUGAUUGCUGCUGCUUCUGUUAUCGCUGCUGGGUUGGCCGUCGGGCUUGCUUCUAUUGGACCUGGAGUUGGUCAAGGCACAGCUGCAGGGCAAGCUGUAGAAGGGAUUGCGAGACAACCGGAAGCAGAGGACAAAAUACGGGGUACUUUAUUACUUAGUCUGGCUUUUAUGGAAGCUUUAACUAUUUAUGGGCUGGUUGUAGCAUUAGCUCUUUUAUUUGCCAAUCCUUUUGUUUAA
RNAcentral lists this long non-coding RNA (246 nucleotides) under Vicia faba (fava bean). Lineage: Eukaryota; Viridiplantae; Streptophyta; Magnoliopsida; Fabales; Fabaceae. The record is from RNAcentral.